UCUCCUGGAAACGGGUGGUAAUGCCGGAUGUUCCACAUGAGCGCAUGCGAGUGUGGGAAAGGCUUUUUGCGGCAUGGGAUGGGGUCGCGUCCUAUCAGCUUGUUGGUGGGGUAACGGCCUACCAAGGCGUUGACGGGUAGCCGGCCUGAGAGGGCGACCGGCCACAUUGGGACUGAGAUACGGCCCAGACUCCUACGGGAGGCAGCAGUGGGGAAUAUUGCACAAUGGGCGCAAGCCUGAUGCAGCGACGCCGCGUGCGGGAUGGAGGCCUUCGGGUUGUAAACCGCUUUUGUUCAAGGGCAAGGCACGGUUUCGGCCGUGUUGAGUGGAUUGUUCGAAUAAGCACCGGCUAACUACGUGCCAGCAGCCGCGGUAAUACGUAGGGUGCAAGCGUUAUCCGGAUUUAUUGGGCGUAAAGGGCUCGUAGGCGGUUCGUCGCGUCCGGUGUGAAAGUCCAUCGCUUAACGGUGGAUCCGCGCCGGGUACGGGCGGGCUUGAGUGCGGUAGGGGAGACUGGAAUUCCCGGUGUAACGGUGGAAUGUGUAGAUAUCGGGAGACACCA
RNAcentral lists this ribosomal RNA (562 nucleotides) under uncultured Bifidobacterium sp. RNAcentral describes it as "bacterial SSU rRNA". It matches the Rfam family "Bacterial small subunit ribosomal RNA", at positions 146 to 711 of the family's 1533-position model. Lineage: Bacteria; Bacillati; Actinomycetota; Actinomycetes; Bifidobacteriales; Bifidobacteriaceae. The record is from RNAcentral.